This is a non-coding RNA of Paramuricea clavata, 668 nucleotides long. Lineage: Eukaryota; Metazoa; Cnidaria; Anthozoa; Malacalcyonacea; Plexauridae. The record is from the annotation of a GenBank genome assembly.
CAUGGAAAAUUUGAACGUGAUAGAACAAUAGAUUUACGAUAAUCAACAGGCCGCGAUAAAAGUGCAACGUCGAGAAUUGUAACAUUGAUUAAAAUGUUGUAAAGUUGUAUAAUUUCUAUUUAAUUAAUCAUUAAGGUGUGUCAAAUUGAGAGUAUAGCGGUCUAUAGUGACAAAGUCAUAGCCAGAGACUGAAUUUGCAGAGACUGAAUUUGUUAAAACGUCUGUAGCUAAAUAAAAAUCGUCCAUUGUCCAGGUUUUAGCCGAAAUGCGUCCAGUCCAUCGUCCAGUCCAGUCCAUCGUCCAGUCCAGUCCAUGGUACAGUCCAGUCCAUAAUCCAGUCCAUAGUCCAGUUCAGAGUCCAGUCCAGGUUUUAGCACAUGCCGCUUACAUUGGCGAUUUGCAACGUUUCGGACCAAUCAUAUCGCAAGGCUUUGGUAGCCACACCUAUUAAAUGGUAAUAACAAUUUGAAUUUUGAAAAGUAUGUCAGUUACUUAUUUUGAAAAGUAUGUCACACUCAACUGGCCGCCAUCUUGAAACUGAACUGGAACAUUGUACCCUGAGACUGCGAUCUCUUGAUGGAAAGUCGCGUCUGUCAUUGUGAAACCAAAAAAAAAACACAACGAAAAAUACAGAAAGUCGAUCCCCAUUUUAUAAGCAUUGUCAUAAC